This 516-nucleotide ribosomal RNA is filed under the name uncultured bacterium. RNAcentral describes it as "bacterial SSU rRNA". It matches the Rfam family "Bacterial small subunit ribosomal RNA", at positions 8 to 518 of the family's 1533-position model. The record is from RNAcentral.
AGGGUUCGAUUCUGGCUCAGGAUGAACGCUAGCGGCAGGCUAACACAUGCAAGUCGAGGGGCAGCGGGAUGUAGCAAUACAUGCCGGCGACCGGCGGAUGGGUGCGUAACGCGUAUGCAACCUACCUUAUACAGGGGAAUAACCUUUCGAAAGGGAGACUAACACCCCAUAGUAUUGAUUUAAGGCAUCUUAGAUUAAUUAAAUAUUUAUAGGUAUAAGAUGGGCAUGCGUAUGAUUAGCUAGUUGGUAAGGUAACGGCUUACCAAGGCGACGAUCAUUAGGGGUUCUGAGAGGAAGGUCCCCCACACUGGUACUGAGACACGGACCAGACUCCUACGGGAGGCAGCAGUGAGGAAUAUUGGUCAAUGGGCGCAAGCCUGAACCAGCCAUGCCGCGUGCAAGGAAGACGGCCUUAUGGGUUGUAAACUGCUUUUACAUAAGACUAACCGUAUAUUUGCGAAUAUACCUGAAUGUAUUAUGAGAAUAAGGAUCGGCUAACUCCGUGCCAGCCGCUGC